GGUUCCUUGGUAACAUUUGUAGCAACCAGAAUAAGGUUGCUGAAAAUAAUUUUUCUGUCAUUAACAAGGGCUCUUUCAACAUUUUGGUAACUGGAGUGGAAUCAAGUUUCAUUAAGUUUUUUGAUCGGAGUGUCUGGUCGUGUCGUCGGCACGAAUGUAUGUGCAAAACACUUGAAUCGGUCAACUGUGUUUCAAUUGAAAUCUAUAGCUGCCCUUACACGAGACAAUAUUAUUGUCAAUACAAGGAGUAUUGACAAUACUUUUGAUCGUGUAGUGGAAACUUCAUUGGAUUGACGAAAAUAUUGUCAAGAAAUCAAAACUGCUCAUCAAUCCGACAAUACUUUCUCUCCAGAGAGGAAACUGCCAAAUAUGUGCAAUGAACUCAUCUCUCAAUAUUUCAAUGUUCAUUUGCAAUAUUUGAAGCUCCAAACGCUUGAUUUUCUCGAAAAAUGCGGACUCAAGUUACCAAGUCAAUUAGCCGCCCUUACACGUGACAAUAUUAUUGUCAAUCCAAAGUAUUGUCAAUACCGUCAAUCCAAUUGACUUGGUAACUUGAGUCCGCAUUUUUCGAGAAAAUCAAGCGUUUGGAGCUUCAAAUAUUGCAAAUGAAUAUUAAAAUAUAGAGAGAAGAGAUUAUUGCACAUAUUUAACAGUUUCUCCGACGACACGACCAGACACUACGAAGAAAAUUUGCAACUAAAAGUGUCUGUGAGCGAUUUACCGCCAGUUACCACAAAUAUAGCGACCCCUUGAUAAUGAUAAAAAUAUUCUUCUUCAGCAACACUGUUUAAGUUGCUACGAACAAGUUACUAAGGAGCCUCAAGAAAAUCAACAAACAUUUUGAGGAAGUGGCAAUUGAAAUAAUUCAAUUUUUGAGGCCUCAGCGCCACUUUCUAGUAGCAACUUAAGAAAGUGAAGCAUCGAAAUUCUACAACCAUCAUCAGUGCAAGAUAUAAUAAAGAGUUUGUCAUAUACAGUCUGCAAGAGUCACACCAGAAUCCAGAAACUAGCGUCUGUCUCCCGACAACGAAAACCAUCUACGUCACGUGGAUUCUCUGCGCAAAGUAGCUGAUCUUGAAUGCAUUUUGUUCAAAAUUGCGACGUAUUUUAAGGGCCGUUAUCUUGCUGCAACCAAACACAAAUCGAUAGCGCCUCGCUGAUGUAUCCGGUGAGGGUAAAGUGCCUAUAACCAGAUUAAAAAGCUAACGAAACUGAAUUUCGGAUUAAUUUUUUUGAAAUGUUUCCAACAUUACGAAUAAGAUAUCGUCAUGUUGGGUCUAGGCACUCUAGGUGAGAUCAUCAUUUGACGUUCAUAUACGCAUCUCUAACCAUUGUUCAAUGGACACAUUUUUAUGUUGAUUUACCCGUUGGACUUGUUUACAAACGUUAACUGGUGACUUAUAUCAUUGUACAUUCAAUAAAACAUUAAAAAUUGAAA
Molecule: long non-coding RNA, 1438 nt
Organism: Malaya genurostris
Lineage: Eukaryota; Metazoa; Arthropoda; Insecta; Diptera; Culicidae
Exons: 2
Source: RefSeq, a predicted model, not a curated record